This is a long non-coding RNA of Alosa sapidissima (American shad), 690 nucleotides long. RefSeq lists it as uncharacterized. The transcript has 3 exons. Lineage: Eukaryota; Metazoa; Chordata; Actinopteri; Clupeiformes; Clupeidae. The record is from RefSeq and is a predicted model, not a curated record.
UCCUGAUUCCCUUACUUACCUUUACAGCUUAUAUACUUUUUUUUUUACACAAAAAAAAAAAAAACAUGUUGUAUUUUAACUCUUGUGGUGUGAGCACAAAAAAACGUGGACACUGCAGGACUGCUGUACGGACUUUCAUGGCCAGUAAAGGCAUCAGAGGUAGGUGGAGAUGCUCAACCCUACCCCACAGCCUCCAGCCUGAUGGCACGUCAUGUGGUGUGUUUGUGUGUAAAUUUGCAGAGGCAGUCGUAACAGGGGGAGAUUUAGAGUUCCCCUGCACCCAGAGGGAUGUGGCCAAUCUCAGAAAAAAGUUGGGUCUAUACCUUCUGGAAAAAUCAGGUAUUUCAGACAAACUUACCUGAAAGGUCAGAGAUCUAAGUUCAAGACUUACAGAUCAGAAUUCAUACCAUGUUUGUUUCCACCGAAGACCUUGGUGAAUUAUGUUUACUAUGUGGAGACACUUAUCCUUGUACACAAGAGUCCAUGGAUACUUGGGUAUGAUAUGUACAUAAGAUUCUUUUUUAAUGUAUAUAACGUCUUGAGUUAAUACUGAUGUGAAUCCUGUUUUUUGUCUUCAAGAUACAAUGUGAUGGCUGCCAGGGUUGGUACCAUUGCGAAUGUGUGAACUGGCCAGACACUAAAGGACUUUUUAUUUGCCCUGGUUGCAAAGGGUCCGAGUAGCCUAAUAAA